ACUCCUACGGGAGGCAGCAGUGGGGAAUAUUGCACAAUGGGGGAAACCCUGAUGCAGCAACGCCGCGUGAGUGAUGACGGUCUUCGGAUUGUAAAGCUCUGUCUUUAGGGACGAUAAUGACGGUACCUAAGGAGGAAGCCACGGCUAACUACGUGCCAGCAGCCGCGGUAAUACGUAGGUGGCAAGCGUUGUCCGGAUUUACUGGGCGUAAAGGGAGCGUAGGUGGAUAUUUAAGUGGGAUGUGAAAUACCCGGGCUUAACCUGGGUGCUGCAUUCCAAACUGGAUAUCUAGAGUGCAGGAGAGGAAAGGAGAAUUCCUAGUGUAGCGGUGAAAUGCGUAGAGAUUAGGAAGAAUACCAGUGGCGAAGGCGCCUUUCUGGACUGUAACUGACACUGAGGCUCGAAAGCGUGGGGAGCAAACAGGAUUAGAUACCCUGGUAGUC
RNAcentral lists this ribosomal RNA (443 nucleotides) under uncultured bacterium. Its description in RNAcentral is "bacterial SSU rRNA". It matches the Rfam family "Bacterial small subunit ribosomal RNA", at positions 335 to 795 of the family's 1533-position model. The record is from RNAcentral.